ACAAUGAGUUAUUUGCUGUGUGCACAUUCUAGUUUGGAGGUCAAAUGAAAAAUGGGAGGCCGAAGGAGCCUGAUUUCCAGCAUCCACGAUUUACUGUCCCAUUAGUACCAUACCUACCUACUAUCUACCUCAUUGAUGACUCUUGGACUAUCCUUGAUCGGAUUUUGUUGGCUUUACUUUGCACUAAACGUUAUUCCUUUAUCAUGUAUCCAUGCACUGUAAAUGGCUCCAUUGUAAUCAUGUGUUGUCUUUCUGCUGACUGGAUUGCAUGCAACAAAAGCUUUUCAUUGUACCUCGGUACAAUGACAAUAAACUAAAGUGAAACUGAAA
Molecule: long non-coding RNA, 330 nt
Organism: Leucoraja erinaceus (little skate)
Lineage: Eukaryota; Metazoa; Chordata; Chondrichthyes; Rajiformes; Rajidae
Exons: 2
Source: RefSeq, a predicted model, not a curated record